RNAcentral lists this ribosomal RNA (3708 nucleotides) under Triticum aestivum (bread wheat). RNAcentral's name for it is "partial small subunit ribosomal RNA". The record is from RNAcentral. Lineage: Eukaryota; Viridiplantae; Streptophyta; Magnoliopsida; Poales; Poaceae.
AUGGCGGCGACGGUGCGGUUCGGGCUCCUGGUGGCGAUGUUCCAGGCCAUGACGCGGGACCGCACGUCCGCGAAGAAGCGGGGCCGCCUCCGCACGUUCCUCGACCGCGCCUACGGGGCCAGCGGCAGGGACGACUACUUCAGCGCGCUCCGCCUCAUCCUCCCGUCCCUCGACCGCGAGCGCGGCUCCUACGGCCUCAAGGAGGCCGCCCUCGCCGCCGCGCUCGUCGAAGCGCUCGGCAUCGCCAAGGACUCCCCCGACGCCGUCCGGCUCACCAACUGGCGCCGCGGCGGCGGCGGCCGCAACGCGGGCAACUUCUCCCUCGUCGCCGCCGAGGUGCUGCAGCGGAGGCAAGGAAUGACUUCUGGUGGGUUGACAAUAAAGGAGGUUAAUGACGCACUCGAUCGUCUAUCUGCAAGUGACACUAGGUCUGAGAAGGCUUCGGUUCUUUCAAGUCUGAUCAAGAAAACCAAUGCCCUUGAAAUGAAGUGGCUUCUAAUGAUUAUUAUUAAAGACUUGAAAUUGGGGAUCAGUGAGAAGAGCAUAUUCCAUGAAUUUCAUCCUGACGCUGAGGACUUGUUCAAUGUUACUUGUGACUUAAAACGGGUCUGUGAAAAGCUUAAUGAUCGAAGUCAAAGGCAUAAACGUCAGGAUAUAGAAGUCGGAAAGGCUGUGAGGCCUCAGCUAGCUAUGAGAGUCGGUAACGCUUCAUCUGCAUGGAAGAAGCUUCAUGGCAAACCAGUGGUUGCUGAGUGCAAAUUUGAUGGCGACCGUAUCCAAAUUCACAAGAAUGGGGAAGAGAUUCAUUUCUUCUCACGGACCUUUCUUGAUCAUUCUGAAUAUACAUCUGGGAUGUCCAAAUUUAUUAAGGAAAAUAUCCUGGUUGACAGGUGUAUUUUGGAUGGGGAGAUGCUUGUUUGGGACACUGCGCUUAAUCGGUUUGCUGAAUUUGGCUCAAACCAGGAAAUAGCAAAGGCUGCUAGUGAGGGGCUGGAGACAAAUCGACAGGUUUUAGAUAUUGCUUUUGACAUUCUUUAUUCUGGAGACACUAGUGUUAUCCACCAAAGUUUGUCGGAGCGGCACGAAAUUCUGCGGAAGGUUGUCAAACCUUUAAAGGGUCGUCUUGAGAUUUUGGUCCCAACAGGUGGUCUAAACACCCAUCGCCCCCCAGAUGAACCAUGCUGGUCCAUUUUUGCUCCCAAUAUUGAAGACAUUGAGAAAUUCUUCAAGGAGACUGUCGAAAACAGGGAUGAGGGAAUUGUACUAAAGGACCUUGAUUCCAAAUGGGAACCUGGUGAUCGAACUGGAAAGUGGCUUAAACUAAAGCCUGAUUAUAUACAUGCUGGUGCUGAUCUGGAUGUUAUUAUUAUAGGUGGAUAUUAUGGAUCAGGGCGUCGAGGAGGAGAGGUUGCACAGUUUUUAGUUGGUCUUGCAGUGUCUUCAGAUGAUAAUAGUCACCCCAAAAGAUUUCUUUCAUUUUGUCGAGUCGGUACUGGUCUCUCCGAUGAAGAACUUGCCACUCUAGUCGCGAAGCUGAAGCCCCACUUUAGCAAAAGUGGGACCCCCAAAAAAACACCCAGAUUUUAUGAAGUAACAAACAAUUCGAAGGAGCGGCCAGAUGUUUGGAUAGAAAGCCCUGAUAAGUCAGUCAUACUAUCUAUAACAAGUGAUAUUCGAACAAUCAAAUCCGAGGUUUUUGCUGCCCCAUACUGCUUGAGGUUCCCCCGCAUUCAACGAGUGAGAUAUGAUAAGCCAUGGCACGAGUGCCUUGAUGUGCAAUCAUUUGUGGAGAUCGUGCACUCAAGUAAUGGGUCAAUGCACAAGGCAGAAGAUGAUAAGAGUCUGAAAAACGACAACUUAAAGAACCCAAAAAUAAACAAAAGGGGGGAGAAGAAGAAUGUAUCAAUCAUCCCUUCACAUCUUAUGAAGACUGACAUAUCAGGCUUAAAGGGCGAAACCCUGAUAUUUGCAAACACGAUGUUCUAUUUUGUCAACACCCCUCCGUCAUAUAACCUCGACUAUUUCCAUAAACUGGUUGUGGAGAAUGGAGGAUCUUUCUCGAUGAAUCUUAAUGACUCUGUUACUCACUGCAUAGCAGCAGAGAAGAAAGGUAUCAAAUAUCAGGCGGCCAUACGCCACGGAAGGAUCAUUCAUUAUUCCUGGAUCUUGGACUGUUGCAAGCAAAAAAUACUUCUUCGUUUGCAACCCAAGUAUAUCCUCUUUCUUGCAGAUUUUGCCAGGCACAAAUUUCCUGAAGAGAUCGACUCAUAUGCUGAUUUUUACUACUGGGACAUCGAUGUUUCUGACCUGAAGCAGAUUUUCAUCAACAUGGACAAAGUUACUGUCGAUCCAAGCAUGGUACAUCGGUACAAAAAGAAGUAUUAUGCUGAUGAAAGAUUCUGCUUCUUCCAGGGCUGCUGCAUUUACUUGUAUCAUGCACCUUUAGUGAAUGAGGACUACAACGUAAUAUCUGAUCUUGCACUAAAGAGGGUGAAGCACGACCUUACAAUGCAUGGUGGUCAGUAUUGCAGUAGCCUUGCUCCUGCCACCCAUUUGGUUAUAGUUUCAGUUCUUCAGGUGUACAAUUUUGACAUAUUGUACAAGAGCUUCUCUCCAGCUGAGAGGCGUUACCUACAUGACAAAAGAUUGCAUGUUGUCAGUAACAAGUGGUUAGAAGAUUCAGUGGAGAAACAAAUGAAAUUGCCUGAAACCGCCUACAACCUUAAACCGGAUACAUUAGAAGAAAUACAAAUCGAAAGGAGUGAGGAAAAGGCCCAGCCCUCUAAUGACAAGACUGCUAAAAAUGAGGAUGUUGAAAUAUCUCAUGUUAAACAUGCAAGGAAAAGGGGCAGGGCGGCUGGCAAUAGUUCGAGAACUGUACGGGCUGCUCCUAGGCCAGUCCGAACAACAAGGGCUAGAAGAGGAAAUAAGCAGGCAAAAAUAGAUGAUGGUGAACCUGAAGAAAACGGUCCUGGUGAAACAGGUCAAGAUGAUGAAAAGUCGAACACAGAUCACAUCUCCAGGAUGGAAGAAGAUAACAGUGACAAGGACCAACGACCACCUCGAGCUGCUCCUAGACCAGUUCGAAGAACAAGUGCUAGAAGAGGAACCCGGCAAGCAAAAACAGACUAUCGUGAAUCUGACGAAAGCGGCCCUGGUGAAACAGGUGAAGAUCAAAAGCUGGGCACAGAUUCCGUCGUAAAGAUGGAAGAAGAUAGCCUGGAUGAAGACCAAGGACCGCCAGCAGGUGCCCAGUUCAUCACACUGGAUGAGCGAGAGCCAAAAGUCGUUAAAUUGAGUGCAGCAGAGGAUACGACAACCAGUCCAAAGUUCGAAAGCAAAGGAACUUCUGAAAGAACAGACGCUGGUGAAGGAACGAGCAUGGCAGGUGAGAAGAUAGAACAGAUGGUUGAUCCUCUGCACGCGAUGCUCCUCGACAUGAUACCGUCACUUAGGGAAGACGCGAGCAGCGAUCCCCCAGCCAAAGUUGAGCAUGAUCCAUCGCGUGUGAGAAGUUCCACGUCGGAUAACAGGGUUCCGGUGCCUGAGACAGGAGGCUCUGCAUCCAAUCCUGUGGCUCCGGCACCGCGUGCAGGAAGUUCGUCAUACAGUGCGGGGGUUCCAGCCCCAGAUCCAAAUCCCGUGGCUCCGAAGAAGAAAAAGGUGAGCUACAAAGAUCUGGCCGACGAGUUUCUGAAAGAUUGGUGA